AAUCCAAACUAGGCAAUUGCUGCUCUUUAUAUUGAAAGAGUAGAGGAAAGUCCGAACUCCGGAGAACAGGGUGCCGGGUAACACCCGGGAGCCGUAAUUUUAUUACGGUUACGGAAAGUGCAACAGAAAAUAUACCGUCCCUUUAUUGGGAUAAGGGUGAAAAGGCAGGGUAAGAGCCUACCGCACUGUUGGUAACAAUGGUGGUCCUUUAAAAAAGGAGUCCUUUUUAGGAUCAGUGUAAACCCCACUCGGAGCAAGGUCAAGUAAGAAAGAUUUCCUUUUAGGAAGAUGGCUGUUCGCCAUUUUAUCUUUCGGGUGGAUCGCUGGAUUCUAACAGUAAUGUUAGAACUAGAUAAAUAAUUGCAAUCCCCUUGGGGAUUACAGAAUUCGGCUUAUAGGUUUGGAUUAAUA
Molecule: RNase P RNA, 411 nt
Filed under: Ignavibacteriota bacterium
Lineage: Bacteria; Pseudomonadati; Ignavibacteriota
Description: Ignavibacteriae bacterium RNase P RNA component class A
Rfam family: Bacterial RNase P class A
About the family: Ribonuclease P (RNase P) is a ubiquitous endoribonuclease, found in archaea, bacteria and eukarya as well as chloroplasts and mitochondria.
Source: RNAcentral